GGUGGGUUGGCGUAAUGGCAACGCGUUAGUUUCCGGUCAAGUGUGCUUGAUACUGAGCUAAAGAUUCUGGGUUCGAGUCCCAGGCCUGUCG
Molecule: non-coding RNA, 91 nt
Organism: Pluteus cervinus
Lineage: Eukaryota; Fungi; Basidiomycota; Agaricomycetes; Agaricales; Pluteaceae
Source: the annotation of a GenBank genome assembly